This 469-nucleotide ribosomal RNA is filed under the name uncultured bacterium. RNAcentral's name for it is "partial 16S ribosomal RNA". It matches the Rfam family "Bacterial small subunit ribosomal RNA", at positions 28 to 507 of the family's 1533-position model. The record is from RNAcentral.
GAUGAACGCUGGCGGCGUGCUUAACACAUGCAAGUCGAACGGUGAAGCUCCAGCUUGCUGGAGUGGAUCAGUGGCGAACGGGUGAGUAACACGUGAGCAACCUGCCCCUGACUCUGGGAUAACAGCCGGAAACGGCUGCUAAUACCGGAUAUGCACCAUGAACGCAUGUUCUGUGGUGGGAAAGAUUUUUCGGCUGGGGAUGGGCUCGCGGCCUAUCAGCUUGUUGGUGAGGUAAUGGCUCACCAAGGCGUCGACGGGUAGCCGGCCUGAGAGGGUGACCGGCCACACUGGGACUGAGACACGGCCCAGACUCCUACGGGAGGCAGCAGUGGGGAGUAUUGCACAGUGGGCGAAAGCCUGAUGCAGCAACGCCGCGUGAGGGAUGACGGCCUUCGGGUUGUAAACCUCUUUUAGCAGGGAAGAAGCGAGAGUGACGGUACCUGCAGAAAAAGCGCCGGCUAACUACGUG